AACAGUAACAUCAAACUCAAGCAGAAGGAAACGAAGAUGUACAGCCUGGCCAUAGAGGAGGAUGUGCCUGUGAGGAAUCUGAAACCAGCUGUGGUGAAAGUGUAUGACUACUACCAGACAAGUGAUGAAGCUGUGAGUGAAUACAGCUCCCCGUGUGCAGAGUGACAGCCAAUCAAGCUGACUGGACUUGGGCUCAACCAAUUGCUUUCCUAUUUAGGAAGAGCUCCUAGAAUGGAGGGGUUCUAUUUGGUGCUUACACAUUGUCCAACUUGUAAUCCGUUUAACAUUAAGUGAACACAAUUUAAUAGAUGGGCCWUAAGGUUACCUCUGUAAUCCUGCUAUAAAGUGAUUGUCGUGUUUCUACGUUAAUAAAACAAUGCUAUGGAUUCAAACCAGA
Molecule: long non-coding RNA, 397 nt
Organism: Salvelinus sp. IW2-2015
Lineage: Eukaryota; Metazoa; Chordata; Actinopteri; Salmoniformes; Salmonidae
Source: RefSeq, a predicted model, not a curated record